GGGGUUGUGGCUCAGUGGUAGAGCGCUUGCCUACCACACAUGAAUCACUGGGUUUGAUCCUCAGCACCA
This 69-nucleotide transfer RNA is filed under the name Ictidomys tridecemlineatus (thirteen-lined ground squirrel). RNAcentral describes it as "Spermophilus tridecemlineatus (thirteen-lined ground squirrel) tRNA". It matches the Rfam family "tRNA". From Rfam's summary of the family: Transfer RNA (tRNA) molecules are approximately 80 nucleotides in length. Their secondary structure includes four short double-helical elements and three loops (D, anti-codon, and T loops). Lineage: Eukaryota; Metazoa; Chordata; Mammalia; Rodentia; Sciuridae. The record is from Rfam by way of RNAcentral.